AUGCAGUACACCGGGCCAACCUACCGCUUACCCCCCCAUCGUACCGGAGAUGCUCUACCCCGCCAGGGUGUACGUCGAGAGCACCCUUCGUGUGUGGGCGAUGUCAAGGUGGAGGGGCGCAAGGGGGUUUACCGACUUCUUCCUUGGGGCCGGCUACGGGCACCUCCCUCAGGGAUCUCCAAGGAUGUACCGAGUCGAGGAGGUCAUCCACAAUGGGGUUGUGGUUGCUAUCCUUGCCCAGUUCACCAACCCCUUCGACGCGUUCUACCUCCUUGGCCGCGUGUUCUGGUGUGGUUGCGAGUUCAUAGCUUUCACCACCCAUAA
RNAcentral lists this ribosomal RNA (324 nucleotides) under Triticum aestivum (bread wheat). Its description in RNAcentral is "partial small subunit ribosomal RNA". Lineage: Eukaryota; Viridiplantae; Streptophyta; Magnoliopsida; Poales; Poaceae. The record is from RNAcentral.